UCUGCAUCUUAGAACUUGGUCCAUCCAAAUGGAUGUGAGCUAGGAUUCUAGACUAAAUAUUACAAGUUUUCUAUAUGUUACCUUAAUUGGUUGCAUAUAGUAGCUAGUAAGUUUACCUUGAAAAAAUUAGAGUGCUCAAUGCGGGCUUAAUGCCUGAAUACUCGUGCAUGGAAUAAUAAAAUAGGAUCUUGGUUCUAUUUUGUUGGUUUUCUGAUCUAAGAUAAUGGUUAAGAGGGACGGACGGGGGCAUUCGUAUCGCUACGUGAGAGGUGAAAUUCUUGGACCGUAGCGAGACGUACAACUGCGAAAGCAUUUGCCAAGAAUGUCUUCAUUAAUCAAGAACGAAAGUCAGAGGUUCGAAGGCGAUCAGAUACCGCCCUAGUUCUGACCGUAAACGAUACCAACUAGCGUUCCGUCGGCGGUAAAUACGCCUUGA
This 436-nucleotide ribosomal RNA is filed under the name Dirofilaria immitis (dog heartworm nematode). Its description in RNAcentral is "SSU rRNA". It matches the Rfam family "Eukaryotic small subunit ribosomal RNA", at positions 640 to 1079 of the family's 1831-position model. The record is from RNAcentral. Lineage: Eukaryota; Metazoa; Nematoda; Chromadorea; Rhabditida; Onchocercidae.